GAUCACUAUUGACGACGCUUGGAGAAUGUUGCAAACGCAAUCUCCCGGGCACCGGGCCAAAUGACCAAUUUACAUGCACCCGCUGAAAUUCUUACAGAGACAGUAGGUGGAGGCAACAAUGGUCACCAUUGACGACGCUUGGAGAAUGUUAGAAGGCACCUGCUACCUCGCCUCCAGGAGCAAAGAAGUUUGCUAGUGUGCAUCUCAGUACACCUUAAAGUGUUAGAAAGCUUUGGUACCGAGGUAAGAGAUAAUAGGGUGAAGGUCACAAGCAUGGUGGACAGUGACAAAAUUAUUCCCAAUUUCACCUAAUAAAAGCACUAUUUCUGUGAUCCAAAGGUAACAGUUAUGAGUGCCUUUCAGCCAGUAGGUAGAUUUGUACGAAAGUAUUUAUUGAGUCAACAAGAUAUACUGACAGGAUGCCACAAACUUCAUCUGCAAUUGCCACUGAAGAUUCCUGUAUCAUGGUUUGCUUGACGAUGGAUCCCACAAACCUUGUCAGCAACCUUGUCGGCAAUUGCAACCGAAGACUCUCAUAAUGAUCUACAAGAUGAAGGCUUUCAGUUGUCCAGGCCAGGCCAGGUGACCGAUGACAAUGAUAGAUCGGGUUCGAUUCAAGCUGUACGCUUGGUGUAUUUGGUUAUCGUGACUGGCGACUUGAGUCUAUCUCAUCUCAUUUCCAAAGCGCGGUGGCUGGGUCCCAGGCAUGCUUGCCACUUUGUUCCACGGUCCUCAUCUAAGUUUCGACGGUGAUGACAUGGACUUAGGUUCAAGGUACGUGUUCCCCUUGAGUCAUCGUGGUUGAUUGAUGGGGGCAAUAAGAGUUGCGUGUCGCUAGUCAUUCAAUUGGUCCCCUUGUUUUAGAGUGUUGGCGGGAUAAGUCUUACGACUGUUAACAAUAGUAAGCAAUAGCUGGCCAGCGAUCCCCUACCUGAUCUCGAGGGGGAUGGAAUGACUGGGGUUUAAGUCCUGUUGUUAACCUGCGGAAUUUCGUCGGACGAAAUGUCAGGCGUGUCCGUGUGGGACUUGUGCUAAACCAGUUUAGUACAUAUGACGAAGACAUUGGGCUCUUUGGAUAACAACAGUGUACUAGACCUCCUUGUGCUUCACAAAACUAUAAAUAUGCCCGCUGAAAUUGACAUGACGGAGUAGAAGAAGGAGAGCCGGCCUCAGCUUGUCAGCCGAGAAGAGCAGAGAAGACACUGGACCCCAAGAAUACAGUGUUGCAGCCAAACCAGAAGAACCAGCCAGAUGGAAGGGACAAAGGAUACAAGGGACACAGGAUGCAACGGACACAGGAUACAAGGGACAAGGGAUACAAAUGACGACACUGCAACCCACAAUCCUUAUGCAGAUGACGGCUGUCAGGUAGACCCAACCACUCGACCACGCCAUAGCAAGAUCAACUCUCGAAGAUCCAGAAAUCCACUGAGUGACCAACCACAGGGUGACUGAGUGAUGUCGCAGAGAAGCCAACCACUCUCUGAUGGAGGUGUAAAGGAUAGAGGUUGCAAGCAUUGUCUUGCACGGAUGAGGGCAGUGGAUCGAGAGUCGAGUGGAUUCAGUGGAUCCAGAGUCGAGUGGAUUCAGUGGAUCGAAUGGUGGCACUGAGGGAUAUCGAAGGGGCAGGAGUGACAAACCAGUCUUUACCGACCGAUUCAUGCAGAACUUUUGCUAAGAUCGGGAACAUUUGUGCUGUGUGUAUGGAGAGGACAAUUGAAACACUGUCCGAAACUCUAAUAGACUAAUGACAAUAUCACUCGAAAGGGACUCGAUAUGAACUUUCAAAAGAUACGGAUAGAGCCCUGCUCAAUACGCAAUAUGACACGAUAUCCAGGAGCUACCGUGAAGACAGCCUCAUAACUAUGGAGGGAUGCCACCCAAAGCAUGGUGAAGCAUCCCACGGAGGAGAGAAGGAUGUCGUGGACCAAGGACAUCCCCUCCGGUUGUCAUCAACUGACAGUUUGAUGACGGUUUGAUGGUGUUUUUGUCAUCGUAGGCCUCAUCCUUAAUUAGCGUUUUAUUGAAAUAUCUGAUUGAAAGGUGAUUUAAUGAAAAUCCUAAUAUUUUCUGUUGGUGAGAAGGUAAAUAUUUACCUUCUUUAUGGCCAUGACUUAGUGGCACAGCAGGUAUAGAAGUGUCAGGUUGCAGGGGUGAGUGAGUAUGGGUAAGUGGUCAGGACUCUUACAUUUUCCCAUGACCACGGUUCAAGAUCUUACACUCAUUAGGAGAAGGAAUCGAAAAAAGGGUGAAUUCAGGGAAGGGGUUGUUUGUGGCUACCAGGGGAGCCAAAAGACCAGGGCACAUCAGGGCUCUUCUGCUUGAAAUAUUUUUCAAGCAAAACUUGAGUUUUCUGCUUAAACAUCACCAAAAAAUCAUCAGAUAUUUCAUGUAAUUAUGUCCAUCAUUUUUGACAUGGGGUUCAUGUGUUGUUGUUUCUUCGACCCCAGGAAACAACAAUAACACAUGUGUCUGAUGGAAUCGUAGGCCUUUUAUAAAUGUUGCUCAAUCUCUUCAGUACCACAGAAACCGCUGACAUUUAAACUCCCAAGGUCUAGGAUCCGAUGCCCCGGACCCAUGAUCAAACUUCCUGGCUCAGUUUCUCAGCACUUUCACCUUCGUGCUCGAGACAACUGACCGACAACAAUGGUGAAUUGUAUUUCUUCGUUUAUAAUUCACAAAUACCCGUUAAAACCCGGGUAUCAAAAAGGUCAUGAAAGACCAAAACAUUUUUACAAUUAAUUGAAAACAGGAAAGAGUUUGAUACUCUCUCGGUUUUAUUGAAAUUUACCAGAAUAUCAAAAUUUGUUUGAGUUUGACAGACCAGACUGGUUCCUGAUCCUACCCUGGUGGUCUCACAGGAACAAAUAUUUGUCUUUACUUCAUUUUGAUUCAAAAAGGCCUUUCACUGCAAGGACAUUAUCAUGUUCUGCAGGUUCUAGGUUCUAAAAAACGCUUUUUCGCCACGUAAAGAAUGGACUUGGUACUUAAAGAAAUUGAGCAAAUUGUAUCUUAAAAGCAUCAACUUUUUGAUGUUUUUAAAAGUUUUGUCCUGUAUGCAUAUACUUGUAAAUUCUGCUAUGUAAAAUGAAAGUUUUGUGAAAUGUCUAUAUGAGAUCUUGACUCUUACAAAAAAAUCCGGCAAACCACUUUUAGUCUUUGCCAUGUCAAGGCCACCUCUUUUAUCAUGCAAAUACAUGUCAGAACUGCUCCUUUUGUCAUGCAAAGCAGCAGCCUCUGUCCAGCGGCCAUCAGAAAUGUGGUCCUUUUGUUAUUCGAAUAGGGUCCUGAACCAAUUGACUGCAGUGACCAAACCUAUUGUGAGCUCACUCAGCCAAACUGAAGGCUUUAACAAUAGGAUUUAACACAAUAGAUAAUCCAUGUUGAAUGUACAGUACACAAUACAUCCUUUGUGGUAUGGUUGAGCAGUCGAGUCAAACCAUUUAAGAUCUCAAUUUAGCAUUGUGUUUCAUGAGACACAAUCAGUGUUUCAUUGUUACAUCUUGUAAAGGAGUUGAACAUGUUUUAAAGGGAUAGUGCUCCUAUCUCCUGAUUCUCCUCCUAUAUUGGACUUUCGGAGUGGUACUACUACAUUGACUAUGAUCGAUUUAAUGUACAUGUAUGAAGUCAUUAGCUCAGCUGUCACCUGUGUGACGGACGAGUUGGCGACUCCCUCCGAUUGCGUAAGUUUUCCCUCGGUACGCGGGUUUCCUCCUACACAGUAUUUCAAGUCUCCAUGUGUUAUCCUUGGAGUUUAGAACAAUAAAGAAUUUGAAAAU
Lineus longissimus is the source of this 3779-nucleotide long non-coding RNA. RefSeq lists it as uncharacterized. The transcript has 8 exons. NCBI's taxonomy places the organism in Eukaryota, Metazoa, Nemertea, Pilidiophora, Heteronemertea, Lineidae. The record is from RefSeq and is a predicted model, not a curated record.